GACUCACGACAACGGAUAUCUUGGUUCUCGCAUCGAUGAAGAACGUAGCGAAAUGCGAUACGUGAUGUGAAUUGCAGAAUCCCGUGAACCAUCGAAUCUUUGAACGCGAGUUGCGCCUGAGGUAAUUCUACCGAUGGCAUGCCUGGCUGGGUGUUGUGAAACU
This 163-nucleotide ribosomal RNA is filed under the name Utricularia tricolor. RNAcentral describes it as "5.8S ribosomal RNA". It matches the Rfam family "5.8S ribosomal RNA". Rfam says of the family: 5.8S ribosomal RNA (5.8S rRNA) is a component of the large subunit of the eukaryotic ribosome. The record is from RNAcentral. Lineage: Eukaryota; Viridiplantae; Streptophyta; Magnoliopsida; Lamiales; Lentibulariaceae.